Molecule: long non-coding RNA, 1079 nt
Organism: Astyanax mexicanus (Mexican tetra)
Lineage: Eukaryota; Metazoa; Chordata; Actinopteri; Characiformes; Acestrorhamphidae
Exons: 3
Source: RefSeq, a predicted model, not a curated record
CUGAAGUUACAUGAAGUUUGGAGGUGUGUAGUGAUGAUUAACUCUGAAGCUACAUAAAGUUUGGAGGUGUGUAGUGAUGAUGAACUCUGAAGCUACAUAAAGUUUGGAGGUGUGUAGUGAUGAACUCUGAAGCUACAUGAAGUUUGGAGGUGUGUAGUGAUGAACUCUGAAGCUACAUGAAGUUUGGAGGUGUGUAGUGAUUAACUCUGAAGCUACAUGAAGUUUGGAGGUGUGUAGUGAUGAUGAACUCUGAAGCUACAUGAAGUUUGGAGGUGUGUAGUGAUGAUGAACUCUGAAGCUACAUAAAGUUUGGAGGUGUGUAGUGAUGAACUCUGAAGCUACAUGAAGUUUGGAGGUGUGUAGUGAUGAUGAACUCUGAAGCUACAUAAAGUUUGGAGGUGUGUAGUGAUGAGCUCUGAAGCUACAUGAAGUUUGGAGGUGUGUAGUGAUGUAGUUACUCUGCAGAAUGUUGGUGAAUUCUGUGCACUAUGCUUCUCAGCAUUCGCUGACUCCACUCUGUUAUUUACACUGACUGAGCACAGAGUUGCUGUAGUUCCCAGUCUCUUCCACUGUGUUAUAAUAUCACUGACAGUUGGCUGUGGAAUAUUUAGUAGCAAGGAAAUUUCACGACUGGACUGGACUGGAGUUCACUGAGCUCCUGAGAGCCUGAGACGCAUUAUUUCAUUAAUGUUGAUUUUAUACAACUGUGGGGAUGGAGAGUACAGCGGUGUGAUAUUAUACGUGUCUGAUCCACUGUCUGUCAAAGGCCAGUUGCAAUCCCAGAAAAUAACAAUAGCAGUGUAGCAAUAACUGCAGCCCCUGAACUGCUCUUAUGACCUCCUCUUCAGUUAAGGAUUUAAGCAGCUCUCCAUGUAAAAGACAAGAUGACAGUGAAGAUAGCUCCCACUUGACCUCAUAUCUUAAUCCAUGAUAAAAUAUUGAUGGUGAAGAACGAAAUUCUCUCAGACAGGGCCACCGAGGACAUGACUGGACGUAGAUGGAGGAUGAUUUCAUGUUUUGUUUAACCUCCCUCUGGUCUCACAUACUUUUGGCCGCUCUCACUGACAGCUUUCCGUUGU